UUUAAGACGAAAAUGGUUAUCGGCUGUUCACAGACAAGACUGGACACCGAGUAAGCACUCUGUUAUAUGUGAACUGCAUUUCAACAAGGACGAUAUUUUAAGCAGUACCAGCAUGUAUGACCCGAAAACUGGUAUACUCUUGACAGCACCGUUGGAUCGUCGACGCUUGAGAAAAGAUGCUAUCCCAUCGAAGUUGCCUGGAUGCCCAUCUUACUUGUCGAGUCAUCAAACUGCAGUACGAGAGGACCCAGAAAUUCGUAGGGGGCGUUUAGAAAAUCGUGCUCUUCAAAUUGCUAUCCAAGAAAGUGUGGACACACAUGCGAAAAUGAUUGAUGCGAUAUCGUUCGAUAGUUUAGAACAAAUGAAAACAAA
Molecule: long non-coding RNA, 372 nt
Organism: Schistocerca serialis cubense
Lineage: Eukaryota; Metazoa; Arthropoda; Insecta; Orthoptera; Acrididae
Exons: 3
Source: RefSeq, a predicted model, not a curated record